Long non-coding RNA from Gossypium raimondii (Peruvian cotton), 469 nucleotides. RefSeq lists it as uncharacterized. The transcript is spliced from 3 exons. NCBI's taxonomy places the organism in Eukaryota, Viridiplantae, Streptophyta, Magnoliopsida, Malvales, Malvaceae. The record is from RefSeq and is a predicted model, not a curated record.
UUGUUGAGUUCUGCCCAUUUCUUGGCUGUUCGAAUGGAGAAGAAAGAGGAAGGAUGCUGCAUGUUUAAUUUUUGAGCUCAUUUAGGAGUUGGUUCCUUAAGAAACUGCUCAAGAGUAGGUUCGGUUGCUGUUCGAUUGAUAAAAAAAUGAGAUUCGGAACUAGAACGGGGGAAAACAAAGUAUCGGAUUAGUCGACCUAAUUCGUCAUUACAGCAAACGUGAGUUUCAGAGGCUUGCUCGGGUUGGAAGUCGUCAGAGAUCUCAUCACACUAUCCAGCUAUGGUUUGGUAUUUAUAAGCUUUGUGAUAUUGGUUAUAUGGCAUGUAUAGGCUUGAGUCUGUUUGAUAAAGGUUUUGGUGAUGAUUCAAGAUGACCAUUUGGUCAUUUGGUAUAUGAUGAGUAUUUACUUAUAAAAGGCAUGUUUUAAAUAGGUUUGAAUGUGUAAAUGUGUUGGUUUUCAUAUUGAUUG